AUACAGAGGGUGCGAGCGUUAAUCGGAAUUACUGGGCGUAAAGCGCGCGUAGGCGGCUUAUUAAGUCAGAUGUGAAAUCCCCGGGCUCAACCUGGGAACUGCAUCUGAUACUGGUAAGCUAGAGUUUUGGAGAGGGAAGUAGAAUUUCAGGUGUAGCGGUGAAAUGCAUAGAGAUCUGAAGGAAUACCAGUGGCGAAGGCGACUUCCUGGCCAAAAACUGACGCUGAGGUGCGAAAGCGUGGGUAGCAAACGGGAUUAGAUACCCUUUGUAGUCC
This 275-nucleotide ribosomal RNA is filed under the name uncultured bacterium. Its description in RNAcentral is "partial 16S ribosomal RNA". It matches the Rfam family "Bacterial small subunit ribosomal RNA", at positions 523 to 796 of the family's 1533-position model. The record is from RNAcentral.